This 301-nucleotide ribosomal RNA is filed under the name Escherichia coli. Its description in RNAcentral is "bacterial SSU rRNA". It matches the Rfam family "Bacterial small subunit ribosomal RNA", at positions 1050 to 1351 of the family's 1533-position model. RNAcentral also lists the same sequence under 1 other name. Lineage: Bacteria; Pseudomonadati; Pseudomonadota; Gammaproteobacteria; Enterobacterales; Enterobacteriaceae. The record is from RNAcentral.
UGUCGUCAGCUCGUGUUGUGAAAUGUUGGGUUAAGUCCCGCAACGAGCGCAACCCUUAUCCUUUGUUGCCAGCGGUCCGGCCGGGAACUCAAAGGAGACUGCCAGUGAUAAACUGGAGGAAGGUGGGGAUGACGUCAAGUCAUCAUGGCCCUUACGACCAGGGCUACACACGUGCUACAAUGGCGCAUACAAAGAGAAGCGACCUCGCGAGAGCAAGCGGACCUCAUAAAGUGCGUCGUAGUCCGGAUUGGAGUCUGCAACUCGACUCCAUGAAGUCGGAAUCGCUAGUAAUCGUGGAUCA